UACGGGGGGAGCAAGCGUUGUUCGGAUUUACUGGGCGUAAAGGGCGCGUAGGCGGUCGUGACAAGUCACUUGUGAAAUCUCCGGGCUUAACUCGGAACGGUCAAGUGAUACUGUCGGACUAGAGUACAGAAGGGGCAACUGGAAUUCUCGGUGUAGCGGUGAAAUGCGUAGAUAUCGAGAGGAACACCUGCGGCGAAGGCGGUGUGCUGGGUUGCAACUGACGCUGAGAUGCGAAAGUGUGGGGAGCAAACGGG
Molecule: ribosomal RNA, 254 nt
Filed under: uncultured bacterium
Lineage: Bacteria
Description: partial 16S ribosomal RNA
Rfam family: Bacterial small subunit ribosomal RNA
Source: RNAcentral